This 252-nucleotide ribosomal RNA is filed under the name uncultured bacterium. RNAcentral's name for it is "partial 16S ribosomal RNA". It matches the Rfam family "Bacterial small subunit ribosomal RNA", at positions 524 to 777 of the family's 1533-position model. The record is from RNAcentral.
UACGAGGGGGCAAAUGUUGUUCGGAAUCACUGGGCGUAAAGGGAGCGUAGGCGGGUUCUUAAGUUAGGUGUUUAAUCCCGGGGCCCAACCCCGGACCGGCACUUAAAACUGGGAAUCUUGAAUAGUGGAGAGGUCAGUGGAAUUGGGGUGUAGCGGUGGAAUGCGUAGAGAUCCCCAAGAACACCAGUUGCGAAGGCGGCUGACUGGACACAUAUUGACGCUGAGGCUCGAAAGCAUGGGGAGCAAACAGGG